Molecule: ribosomal RNA, 497 nt
Filed under: uncultured bacterium
Lineage: Bacteria
Description: partial 16S ribosomal RNA
Rfam family: Bacterial small subunit ribosomal RNA
Source: RNAcentral
GAUGAACGCUGGCGGCGUGCCUAAUACAUGCAAGUCGAGCGAACGGACGAGAAGCUUGCUUCUCUGAUGUUAGCGGCGGACGGGUGAGUAACACGUGGAUAACCUACCUAUAAGACUGGGAUAACUUCGGGAAACCGUAGCUAAUACCGGAUAAUAUUUUGAACCGCAUGGUUCAAAAGUGAAAGACGGUCUUGCUGUCACUUAUAGAUGGAUCCGCGCUGCAUUAGCUAGUUGGUAAGGUAACGGCUUACCAAGGCGACGAUGCAUAGCCGACCUGAGAGGGUGAUCGGCCACACUGGAACUGGGACACGGUCCAGACUCCUACGGGAGGCAGCAGUAGGGAAUCUUCCGCAAUGGGCGAAAGCCUGACGGAGCAACGCCGCGUGAGUGAUGAAGGUCUUCGGAUCGUAAAACUCUGUUAUUAGGGAAGAACAUAUGUGUAAGUAACUGUGCACAUCUUGACGGUACCUAAUCAGAAAGCCACGGCUAACUACGUG